RNAcentral lists this ribosomal RNA (1382 nucleotides) under uncultured bacterium. Its description in RNAcentral is "bacterial SSU rRNA". It matches the Rfam family "Bacterial small subunit ribosomal RNA", at positions 18 to 1395 of the family's 1533-position model. The record is from RNAcentral.
CCUGGCUCAGGAUGAACGCUAGCUACAGGCUUAACACAUGCAAGUCGAGGGGCAGCAUGGUCUUAGCUUGCUAAGGCCGAUGGCGACCGGCGCACGGGUGAGUAACACGUAUCCAACCUGCCGUCUACUCUUGGACAGCCUUCUGAAAGGAAGAUUAAUACAAGAUGGCAUCAUGAGUCCGCAUGUUCACAUGAUUAAAGGUAUUCCGGUAGACGAUGGGGAUGCGUUCCAUUAGAUAGUAGGCGGGGUAACGGCCCACCUAGUCUUCGAUGGAUAGGGGUUCUGAGAGGAAGGUCCCCCACAUUGGAACUGAGACACGGUCCAAACUCCUACGGGAGGCAGCAGUGAGGAAUAUUGGUCAAUGGGCGAGAGCCUGAACCAGCCAAGUAGCGUGAAGGAUGACUGCCCUAUGGGUUGUAAACUUCUUUUAUAAAGGAAUAAAGUCGGGUAUGCAUACCCGUUUGCAUGUACUUUAUGAAUAAGGAUCGGCUAACUCCGUGCCAGCAGCCGCGGUAAUACGGAGGAUCCGAGCGUUAUCCGGAUUUAUUGGGUUUAAAGGGAGCGUAGAUGGAUGUUUAAGUCAGUUGUGAAAGUUUGCGGCUCAACCGUAAAAUUGCAGUUGAUACUGGAUAUCUUGAGUGCAGUUGAGGCAGGCGGAAUUCGUGGUGUAGCGGUGAAAUGCUUAGAUAUCACGAAGAACUCCGAUUGCGAAGGCAGCCUGCUAAGCUGCAACUGACAUUGAGGCUCGAAAGUGUGGGUAUCAAACAGGAUUAGAUACCCUGGUAGUCCACACGGUAAACGAUGAAUACUCGCUGUUUGCGAUAUACAGCAAGCGGCCAAGCGAAAGCGUUAAGUAUUCCACCUGGGGAGUACGCCGGCAACGGUGAAACUCAAAGGAAUUGACGGGGGCCCGCACAAGCGGAGGAACAUGUGGUUUAAUUCGAUGAUACGCGAGGAACCUUACCCGGGCUUAAAUUGCAGAUGAAUUACGGUGAAAGCCGUAAGCCGCAAGGCAUCUGUGAAGGUGCUGCAUGGUUGUCGUCAGCUCGUGCCGUGAGGUGUCGGCUUAAGUGCCAUAACGAGCGCAACCCUUGUUGUCAGUUACUAACAGGUUCCGCUGAGGACUCUGACAAGACUGCCAUCGUAAGAUGUGAGGAAGGUGGGGAUGACGUCAAAUCAGCACGGCCCUUACGUCCGGGGCUACACACGUGUUACAAUGGGGGGUACAGAGGGCCGCUACCACGCGAGUGGAUGCCAAUCCCCAAAACCUCUCUCAGUUCGGACUGGAGUCUGCAACCCGACUCCACGAAGCUGGAUUCGCUAGUAAUCGCGCAUCAGCCACGGCGCGGUGAAUACGUUCCCGGGCCUUGUACACACCGCCC